Molecule: ribosomal RNA, 473 nt
Filed under: uncultured bacterium
Lineage: Bacteria
Description: bacterial SSU rRNA
Rfam family: Bacterial small subunit ribosomal RNA
Source: RNAcentral
AGUGAACGCUGGCGGCAGGCCUAACACAUGCAAGUCGAGCGGCAGCGCGUCCGACCACCCUCGGGUGGUCGGAUGGCGGCGAGCGGCGGACGGGUGAGGAAUGCAUCGGAAUCUGCCUCGUUGUGGGGGAUAACGUAGGGAAACUUACGCUAAUACCGCAUACGACCUACGGGUGAAAGUGGGGGACCUUCGGGCCUCACGCGAUGAGAUGAGCCGAUGCCGGAUUAGCUAGUUGGCGGGGUAAAGGCCCACCAAGGCGAUUAUCGGUAGCUGGUCUGAGAGGACGAUCAGCCACACGGGAACUGAGACACGGUCCCGACUCCUACGGGGGGCAGCAGUGAGGAAUAUUGGGCAAUGGGCGAAAGCCUGACCCAGCAACGCCGCGUGGAGGAUGAAGGCUUUAGGGUUGUAAACUCCUUUUGUGGGGAAAAGAAUGGAUGGUACCCCAAGAAUAAGUCACGGCUAACUACGUG